CCUACGGGAGACAGCAGUGAGGAAUAUUGGUCAAUGGACGAGAGUCUGAACCAGCCAAGUAGCGUGAAGGAUGACUGCCCUAUGGGUUGUAAACUUCUUUUAUAUGGGAAUAAAAUGUUCCACGUGUGGGAUUUUGUAUGUACCAUAUGAAUAAGGAUCGGCUAACUCCGUGCCAGCAGCCGCGGUAAUACGGAGGAUCCGAGCGUUAUCCGGAUUUAUUGGGUUUAAAGGGAGCGUAGGUGGAUUGUUAAGUCAGUUGUGAAAGUUUGCGGCUCAACCGUAAAAUUGCAGUUGAAAAUGGCAGGCUUGAGUACAGUAGAGGUGGGCGGAAUUCGUGGUGUAGCGGUGAAAUGCUUAGAUAUCACGAAGAACUCCGAUUGCGAAGGCAGCUCACUGGACUGCAACUGACACUGAGGCUCGAAAGUGUGGGUAUCAAACAGGAUUAGAUACCCCUGUAGUC
This 460-nucleotide ribosomal RNA is filed under the name uncultured bacterium. RNAcentral's name for it is "partial 16S ribosomal RNA". It matches the Rfam family "Bacterial small subunit ribosomal RNA", at positions 338 to 795 of the family's 1533-position model. The record is from RNAcentral.